This 122-nucleotide ribosomal RNA is filed under the name Petromyzon marinus (sea lamprey). The record is from RNAcentral. Lineage: Eukaryota; Metazoa; Chordata; Hyperoartia; Petromyzontiformes; Petromyzontidae.
GCGUAUGAACAAAUCACAUGGAAUGCACCCCAUCUCAUCUGGGUCUCAGAAUCUAAGCAGGGUUGGGCCUGGAUAGUGCUUGGGAGGGUGACCACCAGGGACACAAGUGGCUGUCAUCGACC